This 1088-nucleotide long non-coding RNA is filed under the name Androctonus crassicauda. Lineage: Eukaryota; Metazoa; Arthropoda; Arachnida; Scorpiones; Buthidae. The record is from RNAcentral.
GUAAAGACAUAUCCAAUAUAGUACUGUGUGCAUUGAAUUAAAGGGAUUUUUUUAAAGUUAUAUUCAAAUAUAUUUUAAUAAAUUUAAUUUGUAAGAAUAUUUAUAAAAAAAAUACUUGUAAGAAUUAACAAUAGUAGUGCAGUAUUUGAUUCGCAGUGGUGCGCCGCCUACGUAUGAAUAGCAAUGAUGAAGAGUGUAAUGCAGACAAAUCUACAUUGUACUCGGUAUGUGGGCGGCGCAGCCCUGCAAAUCAAAUACUGCAUUACUAUUGCAAAUUUGUAUAAUAUUUGUUUAUAAAUAACACUGAAGAGCAUUAAAAUGUAAAAAAUUUAAAUAAAAAUGCGUCUAGCAUGGGCACCGUUGUAUUGGUGUGCUCAUAUUGGUUCGAAUUGUUUAUUAUUGAAAAUGCAAAAAAUAUACAAUAGUAUGAUUUGCACCGCAUGUUGAUAUUAAUAUCGCAAGAAUUUCUAAAUAUUUAUCUGAGAGGUUUUUAGUUUUAAACAUAGAUAUUAAUAUAUCAUUCAUCUUUCAAAAAUGAUCAUUUUUUAAAUUAUUUUUUUCUGCCGUACAAUGUGCCGUAAAUAAAGAAAUACUUAAAGUAGUUUGACUAAAAGAAAGUUGAGAACAGCUGAUCUGGACUAGAUCCUUAAGAUGUUUUGGCAUCUUGGACUAGUGAUAUGAUGUUUGAUUUUAUAAUGAAUAGAGUUAUUAAUUAUUUAACAGCUCUUCGCCUAUUAAAUUGGCGUCCUGUUGCUACAACCCAUUUAGCUCAAUGGUUUUGGCAAUGCUGAAAUGUUGUUAUAAUUACAAUAUUUGAGAUUUUAACACCACAAAUCUGCAUGAAAGUUAUGAGAUGAUGACUAGCCAUGACGGGUUAGUUAAGAACCCAUCACGGCUAAACAGAUUUAUGGGAGUCAACGGGCAAAGAAAGGAUCUAGAUCAGUUGAUUGAUUCCGGAUUCUACAAGCAGCUGUUUGGAAGGGCCAUUGUUCUCUCAAGUUUUCAAAUAAAAUACUGUAAGCUUAAGCUAAAGCUAUAUUCAGAUGAUCAAAAUUCAUCAAUGUAAAGCCUGAUAACUAUAAUUGGCC